AGCGUAGACGGAUGGACAAGUCUGAUGUGAAAGGCUGGGGCUCAACCCCGGGACUGCAUUGGAAACUGCCCGUCUUGAGUGCCGGAGAGGUAAGCGGAAUUCCUAGUGUAGCGGUGAAAUGCGUAGAUAUUAGGAGGAACACCAGUAGCGAAGGCGGCUUACUGGACGGUAACUGACGUUGAGGCUCGAAAGCGUGGGGAAGCAAACA
Molecule: ribosomal RNA, 208 nt
Filed under: uncultured bacterium
Lineage: Bacteria
Description: partial 16S ribosomal RNA
Rfam family: Bacterial small subunit ribosomal RNA
Source: RNAcentral